GCGUAGCCUGAGCCAAGUAGACUCCUGGGUUGCUAAGAUACCUCUGAAUCUUGCCUGCCUCAAGAAGAUCAGAUAAACAUCUACAAAGAGACUCAGUCUGGAAUUGAACUAUGGGAAACAGAUGCCUUCUAGAAUAUCCAGAUCACAAUGAAGAAGAUAGGCCAGGAAGCUGUGGUCUGGGCACAGCUCUCCCCAGACACAAUGAAGAACCUUGGCAGAUAGGGAGACUUGACAGGCUUCCCUGCCUUCCCUUUACUAACAGGAACGGGGGCUGUGAACUAGACCCCGGGGUUCCAUCUAGUUCAGACAGUCUAGGAAGUGCCAAGGUUGAAAUGUAAGUCACUGCAGCUGACAUCUGGUAGGAAGCAGAAAGAACACCCCUGUCCAGGAGAUGGUAAUCCGAGAAAAGACAGGGAAUCUUCCGAUCACGUGACACUAAAGGAAACAAGGGGGCGUGGCUCGGGACACAAGUGAGCCUGAGGACUAGGGCAGCUCUGUCGCCAGUUUUUCCUUUUACCUAAAAGCUGCCACUCAGAUUGUGAAGCAGAACGUGGCAGGGGUGUUUCCUCCAGCGCUAUGUGAAAGAGCCAAGUAGGGGAUUUCUGUGCUUCUUUGACUCACCUCAGAACGAAUCUCCUUCUACGCCGUCAACCUUUCUAUUUUGUGAGGGAGUCAGUCCCCUGAUUAAAAGUUCUGAGGCA
Molecule: non-coding RNA, 701 nt
Organism: Rattus norvegicus (Norway rat)
Lineage: Eukaryota; Metazoa; Chordata; Mammalia; Rodentia; Muridae
Source: RefSeq, a predicted model, not a curated record